Molecule: small nucleolar RNA, 106 nt
Filed under: Olea europaea subsp. europaea
Lineage: Eukaryota; Viridiplantae; Streptophyta; Magnoliopsida; Lamiales; Oleaceae
Description: Plant small nucleolar RNA R71
Rfam family: Plant small nucleolar RNA R71
About the family: R71 is a member of the C/D box family of snoRNAs containing the C (UGAUGA) and D (CUGA) box motifs.
Source: Rfam by way of RNAcentral
AUAUUUAGAGUAGGGCACUUCCUAAAAUAUUCUUUGAAUCUUUCCCAUGCUUCUGGAUAGCUCUCGAGACCCUUUUGCCUGAAAGUAUGGACUUCAUUUUGGAUAU